Molecule: ribosomal RNA, 398 nt
Filed under: uncultured bacterium
Lineage: Bacteria
Description: bacterial SSU rRNA
Rfam family: Bacterial small subunit ribosomal RNA
Source: RNAcentral
GAUGAACGCUAGCGACAGGCCUAACACAUGCAAGUCGAGGGGCAGCACGAAGUAAGCUUGCUUACUUUGGUGGCGACCGGCGCACGGGUGCGUAACAGGUGUGCAAUCUGUCCAUAAUCGGGGAAUAGCCCAGCGAAAGUUGGAUUAAUGCUCCAUGUGAGUUUUAGAGGCAUCUCUUUAAUUUGAAACGCAAGGAUUAUGGUGAGCACGCUUCUGAUUAGGUAGUUGGUGAGGUAACGGCUCACCAAGCCGACGAUCAGUAGGGGUUCUGAGAGGAAGGUCCCCACAUUGGAACUGAGACACGGUCCAAACUCCUACGGGAGGGCAGCAGUGAGGAAUAUUGGUCAAUGGGCGGAAAGACCUGAACCAAGCCAAGUCGCGUGAAGGGAAUGAAGGUU